GGGAUUGCCUUAGUAACUGCGAGUGAAGCGGCAAAAGCUCAAAUUUGAAAUCUGGCGCCUUCGGCGUCCGAGUUGUAAUUUGGAGGGACAUCUUCGGGGCUGGCGCCGUCCUAAGUUCCUUGGAACAGGACGUCACAGAGGGUGAGAAUCCCGUGCCUGGGCGGAUGCCCAGCUCCAUGUGAAGUGUCUCCGACGAGUCGAGUUGUUUGGGAAUGCAGCUCAAAAUGGGUGGUAAAUUUCAUCUAAAGCUAAAUAUUGGCGAGAGACCGAUAGCGCACAAGUAGAGUGAUCGAAAGAUGAAAAGCACUUUGAAAAGAGAGUUAAAAAGUACGUGAAAUUGUUGAAAGGGAAGCGCUUGCGACCAGACUCGACCUUUGGCGAUCAGCCGGGCUUCGGCUCGGUGCCAUCGCCAUUGGUUGGGCCAGCAUCGGUUCUGACGGUGGGAUAAAAGGCGAAGGAAUGUGGCCUCCUUCGGGGGGUGUUAUAGCCUUCGUCACAAUGCCGCCAGUCGGGACCGAGGACCGCGCUUCGGCUAGGAUGCUGGCGUAAUGGUCUUAAGCGACCCGUCUUGAAACACGGACCAAGGAGUCUAACAUCUAUGCGAGUGUUCGGGUGGAAAACCCUUGCGCGUAAUGAAAGUGAACGGAGGUGGGAACCCCUCGGGGUGCACCAUCGACCGGUCCUGACGUCUUCUGAAGGAUCUGAGUAAGAGCAUAGCUGUUGGGACCCGAAAGAUGGUGAACUAUGCCUGAAUAGGGUGAAGCCAGAGGAAACUCUGGUGGAGGCUCGCAGCGGUUCUGACGUGCAAAUCGAUCGUCAAAUUUGGGUAUAGGGGCGAAAGACUAAUCGAACCAUCUAGUAGCUGGUUCCUGC
Molecule: ribosomal RNA, 873 nt
Filed under: Anthracobia macrocystis
Lineage: Eukaryota; Fungi; Ascomycota; Pezizomycetes; Pezizales; Pyronemataceae
Description: eukaryotic LSU rRNA
Rfam family: Eukaryotic large subunit ribosomal RNA
Source: RNAcentral